CCUACGGGUGGCAGCAGUGAGGAAUAUUGGUCAAUGGGCGCGAGCCUGAACCAGCCAAGUCGCGUGCAGGAUGACGGCCCUAUGGGUUGUAAACUUCUUUUGUACGGGAGUAAACUGAUCCACGUGUGUCUUUCUGAAUGUAACUUACGAAUAAGGAUCGGCUAACUCCGUUCCAGCAGCCGCGGUAAUACGGAGGGUUCAAGCGUUAUCCGGAUUUAUUGGGUUUAAAGGGUUCGUAGGCGGGCGGAUAAGUUAGAGGUGAAAUAUUUAGGCUUAACCUCGGAAGUGCCUUUGAUACUGAUAGUCUUGAGAGCAGUUGAGGUAGGCGGAAUGCAUGGUGUAGCGGUGAAAUGCUUAGAUAUCACGCAGAACACCGAUUGCGAAGGCAGCUUACCAAGCUACCACUGACGUUGAGGCACGAAAGCGUGGGUAUCAAACAGGAUUAGAUACCCGGGUAGUC
RNAcentral lists this ribosomal RNA (460 nucleotides) under uncultured bacterium. Its description in RNAcentral is "partial 16S ribosomal RNA". It matches the Rfam family "Bacterial small subunit ribosomal RNA", at positions 338 to 795 of the family's 1533-position model. The record is from RNAcentral.